RNAcentral lists this long non-coding RNA (319 nucleotides) under Carica papaya (papaya). RNAcentral describes it as "long non-coding RNA (CPAP_LNC015229)". Lineage: Eukaryota; Viridiplantae; Streptophyta; Magnoliopsida; Brassicales; Caricaceae. The record is from RNAcentral.
UUGCUUUAUACAUAUAUACACAGAUAUAUAAUCUUUAACUGUUUUCCGUUAUUUAUAUGUACACUAGCAUGCAAUCUAUAGCAUAUUGUAAUUAUCUUAAAGGUUAGAAUCAGUAAUGGAUGAUGGAUUGUUUCCUUCUAAUUGUUUUUUGAACUGAAAAGAGAAGAAGAAAAGAGAAAAAAUGAAGUAGUUAUGAAGAGCAAAAAUAAAGCAACUCUGAAGAGGAAAAAGGAAGCAAUUCUGAACAGGAAGAAUGAGCAGCUUUGAAGAAGAAAAAUGAAGUAGCUCUGAAGAGGGAAAAUGAAGCAUCUCUGAAGAA